Long non-coding RNA from Myzus persicae (green peach aphid), 1880 nucleotides. RefSeq lists it as uncharacterized. The transcript has 4 exons. NCBI's taxonomy places the organism in Eukaryota, Metazoa, Arthropoda, Insecta, Hemiptera, Aphididae. The record is from RefSeq and is a predicted model, not a curated record.
CCAUAAAAGUGGAUUGCGAGUCAAAAAAAAAGGUAAAAGCCUUUUGAAGUUCCUUUUUGAUAUUGAAUUGCAGCUAUUGCAGGUUGUUUGAUUAUAAGACCAUAGUUUGAAUGCUUUAUAUAUAUAUUGUUUGUGUAAACCGUACACUUUAUUAGGUAGAUAGGUAUACCACAUCGACAUGAUGUAUCCUUGUCUACUUAUAAGUUAUAACUUAUGAUCUACACAUGAUUUUUGCGAUUAUAAUAGUAAGUGCAUAAAACGUCGUUUUUACUUAUUAAGUGUUAUCAUUCGCAUUGCAGGUGGGCCCAUGUAUAUGUGUAUGUGCAAUAGAUGUAGUGGUGACUAUCCUCAAAAUAGUAUGUGUUGCUGAAAAUAUUUCUGAGAACCCGCCUACCUACAGACAAAGGCUGUAUUUAGUUGAAAAUAUAAAAAACUGAAUAAUUGGGCGAUUACUAAUUGUUUACUAUAGAAUGAUUCAUUAGAGUGAAUUUUUUUUUAAACUAUGAUCUACUCUUACACUUUAUAUAAUUAUUACUUAUCAGUCAUUGAAUGAUAAAUACACCCACCCAUCCACGAACCAAAUGUUAUAUGUGUUGCUGAAGCAAAACAAGAAUAGUCUCCACUGAAUAGUUGCGCGUGCAUAUGCUGGUGGUUUUAUAAUGGCGAUUCGAAAAUUGCAACUCAUUAAUUUACCUAAUUAAUGUUCGUUAAAUGUAUGCGUAAUUCAAUAAAAAAAACGCUCUAAUUUGAAUAUACGUAUGUAUCGUGGCAUAAAAUGUUAUUUAUCUAAGACGAUCAUAUUAAGUUGUACGUGGGAAUAACUAAAGUAUAACUUCUAACGUUCUUAACUUUGUAUACUUACCUACAUAUACAGUCAACGACGGGAUUAGCAUAAGUGCAAAAGAAUCUUUUGCUCCAGAGCGACACAUUUAUAGCGCGGCAUCUUUCACAUAGGUAUGUACCGAAGCCCUACUCGUGACACUGUGACAGUGAAGAAGUAUCGUUCUCAACACUUCAGCAGCUGUUAAAUACACACACUUAUCAUGACCCGGCAGAAGACCUACCAAGUAGACGGGCUCAUCGAUGAAAUUACCGGGGCACAAAAAGAAAUACAAGAAAUAUAUUAUGUUUAUCAAUAGAAAAAAUCAUUUUCCAUCGGUCAAGUUCGCGAAUUGUUUGAGUCGCUACCGAUGUCUAAGAGUGUGGUGCGAUCUGGAGAGAAAUAAACUUACAAAAUAGUAGGUCUGUUGAACGGAUUUUAGAUUGCGUACGAUUUUAAAUACCUACAUUUUUCGUACCAGCAAAACUGAUAUUUUUAAUGGACGUGUUCAAAUAUAGAAGAUAGGGAAAAUAUCUCAUACGUGGGUUCAAUAUUUAGCUCCUUCUCACUGAAAAUGCAUUUGAAUCAAGUUUAAUUUUAGAAGGGUGACUUCAGCAAUGUUCCAUUAUAAAUCGGGACUGUUUAAUACAAUAUACCUAUAUAAAUAUAAGUACAACCAAGUUUAGCGAUGUAUCGGAUGCCCGAAUAAAAUCGGGCCAGCAAAACCGCAACGAGCCUAACGACUUGGAAAUUGACGAUAAAGACGUACAACAUAUAAUAAUAUAUAAUAUAUUAUAUAUUGCAAUAUAUCUGCAGUGUGAUAUUUCCACCGUUAAAACGGUCGGCAGACGCAAGUGAGGUCCUGUCGGAUUCGAUUCCGGACCGGGCAUAUAAUAAUAUGCUUUUAAGCCACGUCAUUCUUCCGGAGAAGUUAACAAUUCGGGUAUAAUAUAUAUAAUAUGGACCGUCGCACGACCAUGUUCAGUGGAGCCCAUUAUCUUGUUGAAGAAUAAAUUAAUAAAGCAAAUAUACGUACCUAUACAAACUCGUCUAUACACGA